Molecule: ribosomal RNA, 492 nt
Filed under: uncultured bacterium
Lineage: Bacteria
Description: partial 16S ribosomal RNA
Rfam family: Bacterial small subunit ribosomal RNA
Source: RNAcentral
GACGAACGCUGGCGGCGCGCUUAACACAUGCAAGUCGAACGGAAAGGCCUGCUUUCCCUUGUGGAUUGCGGGUACUCGAGUGGCGAACGGGUGAGUAACACGUGAGUGAUCUGCCCCCAACUUGGGUAUAAGCCUGGGAAACUGGGUCUAAUUCCCGAUAGGACUGCAGGGUGGGCCUGUGGUGGAAAACGAUUUUCUAGUGGUUGGGGAUGAGCUCGCGGCCUAUCAGCUUGUUGGUGGGGUAAUGGCCUACCAAGGCGGCGACGGGUAGCCGGCCUGAGAGGGUGGACGGCCACAUUGGGACUGAGAUACGGCCCAGACUCCUACGGGAGGCAGCAGUGGGGAAUAUUGCACAAUGGGCGGAAGCCUGAUGCAGCGACGCCGCGUGGGGGAUGACGGCCUUCGGGUUGUAAACUCCUUUCGACCGCGAGGAAGCCACCUGGUUGGAAGGGUGGUGACGGUAGUGGUAGAAGAAGCACCGGCUAACUACGU